UGGGGAAUUUUGGACAAUGGGCGCAAGCCUGAUCCAGCCAUGCCGCGUGCGGGAAGAAGGCCUUCGGGUUGUAAACCGCUUUUGUCAGGGAAGAAAUCCUUUGGGCUAAUACCCCGGGGGGAUGACGGUACCUGAAGAAUAAGCACCGGCUAACUACGUGCCAGCAGCCGCGGUAAUACGUAGGGUGCAAGCGUUAAUCGGAAUUACUGGGCGUAAAGCGUGCGCAGGCGGUUAUGCAAGACAGAUGUGAAAUCCCCGGGCUCAACCUGGGAACUGCAUUUGUGACUGCGUAGCUGGAGUGCGGCAGAGGGGGAUGGAAUUCCGCGUGUAGCAGUGAAAUGCGUAGAUAUGCGGAGGAACACCGAUGGCGAAGGCAAUCCCCUGGGCCUGCACUGACGCUCAUGCACGAAAGCGUGGGGAGCAAACAGGAUUAGAUACCCCGGUGGUCCACGCCGUAAACGAUGGGUGCUAGACGUUGGCGAGCUUGCUCGUCAGUGUCGCAGCUAACGCGUUAAGCACCCCGCCUGGGGAGUACGGCCGCAAGGUUG
Molecule: ribosomal RNA, 548 nt
Filed under: uncultured bacterium
Lineage: Bacteria
Description: bacterial SSU rRNA
Rfam family: Bacterial small subunit ribosomal RNA
Source: RNAcentral